AAGUCGUAACAAGGUAACCGUAGGUGAACCUGCGGUUGGAUCAUUAAAGAAUUUUAAAGGUUUUCGAACCUUUAGCUUUAAAAAUUGGGUUAGUUCUUCCCUUAAAAGAAGACUAACUUCAAACCUUGUGUGAAUUGUAAACUGUCUUUGGUAAGAAUUGAAUGUAGUAGUUUUUCUAUUACAUUAUCGCUUACCAAAAUUUAUUUUAAAACAUUGUUUAUUUUAAAGUCUUUAAAUCAAUUACUUUAAUUGAAAACAACUUUUGACAACGGAUCUCUUGGCUCUC
Molecule: unclassified non-coding RNA, 286 nt
Filed under: fungal sp.
Lineage: Eukaryota; Fungi
Description: partial internal transcribed spacer region
Rfam family: Eukaryotic small subunit ribosomal RNA (bases 1-46)
Source: RNAcentral